Long non-coding RNA from Anser cygnoides (Swan goose), 2051 nucleotides. Lineage: Eukaryota; Metazoa; Chordata; Aves; Anseriformes; Anatidae. The record is from Ensembl.
AUGCUUAACUUACCUGAACUGGACUUGCUAGUACUGCUGAUGUCUGCAGGGUUUCACCAAAGACAAAGGCGCAAGGCUGGGCCUGAGAUUAUGAACGAAAGGGCUGCAGCUGGACUCUGUGCCUGUGUAGCCACAACACGAAAUAAAGCACUUGAAGGGAUUCCUGCAUUGGCUCUGGACCUCUCUACCCCGAUGCAGACCACUGAACCAGUGCGGAGCACUGUAUGGAACCAUUCCCACGUCUGGCAGUCAUGGCAGGCUUUGAUGUGGAGGUUCGUGCUAAAAACCCAAUGUUUAAGAAAUAUUUUCCCUUUUACCCUGGGAUUUGCCCAGAAGUGGCUGGUGUCUGAUAGCCCGAUAGCAUGUGUGAAUGAGCUGGUCCCAGUCCAAUCCUUAAUAGCCAUCUGUAUUUCUCUGCAUCAGACCGUGAUCUAGCUCAGUUGGUCUGAUUAGCACAGCCCUAGAGAAAGCCACUGGCUAAAUAUCACAGUGAGAAACCUUAGCCUCCAGCUCUGGACUGCAUCCAUCACGCUGAGAGGUAAAGGGAUGCUUUUUUUGUUUGCCACCAAUGAUGCUGUAUUUGGCCAGAGUCUCUGUUUCUAAUCUAAAAUGUUUGGGGCCAGGUUCUGAUUCCCUUAACUCUGGCUCAAUAACAACUUAAUUUGCCAGUAGCACUACUAGUGAAAAUAAUUAGAGAGUAAAGGAUUAUUUGGUGUGAAGAAAGGUGGAAGAAUUGGGCCCUUGAUUAAAGCACUAAAAAUAGCUUAGUAGAGUUUCAAAGAAGAUGUAAUUACUUCUUUUAUCUGCCCAGCUCUUAUCAUUUGUGAAAGUUACUGGAUGUUUCUUGUUGUGUUUUCAGACCUAUGACUUGAUUGCAUAUCGCAGAGUCUUUUAUGCAGUUCCUGAACAUUGAAGCAAUCUCUGCUUAAACAAAUGUAACAAUGGCAGUCAGUACCUAUUGCAUUUGCUAUUUUUGUCCUGUCAACUCAUGCUUUCAAAAGAUACAAUUUGAAAUCAGUUUCUUCCGUAUUUAUUCUCCACCAGUGAACUCCCAGAUCAGAUUUGCUCGGGUUUAAAGUCAAAACAAGGUUUCUGUACCUGCUGGUGCUGAAUGCUCAGCCUGGCAUCUCAAGCUCAAGCUGUGCUCUUUCUGCCUCGUGCGUUAUGUUGGCAGUCACGGCUCUGGAACUAGACUCACUGGCAAUUUUGCUCGAGAUGCAGAAGGUGGAAAGAAUCUAGCUUGCUGGUCUAUGUGGAUUUUGUUUUGUCAGAAAAGUAAAUGUGUGUUACACACAACUCCUCUCUGUCUCGCUCUGGGAUAGCUGGGCUGUUUUCAGGGCUGCUGCAAGCUUGCACAGGUGCUGUAGAGGGAAGAGCAGGACCAUAGACUUAGAUCAGGCUCUGAUAGGCAGCUGUGGGUGGUACUAUAGUGUCUUUUUAACUGACAUUACCCUUCUGCUUAAAAGCAAACAAAAAAUACCUCCUUCAGUUUAUAGUCUUUAUUGUUUCCUGAUGCAGCCCAUUAAAGAGAAACAAAUGGGUUUACAGUAGCCUGCAGUACUGUCCGAUGUACUGUGGUUGAUGUACAAGUGACAGCUUGACAAUUUCCUAUGUAUUUUCUCAGCAAGGCUCUUUUUAAUUGUUAGGUUUUCUCUCCUCCUUCCAUUAGUGUGAUGUCAUUAUACUGCAGCUCAUGGGAUUUUACACUAAAUAUUUCAUGUUGAGAAGCAGAAAUGGUACUCUUUUUCUUGCUCAUCAUGGUUUUGAUUAGGAAUUCUACUGAUCCCUGUCCAAUAGAGCCCUUACUAAAAUUCAGUUAGGGAAUUAAUAACUAAAAGUGCAUGGAAACUUUUUGUCUAAGUAAGGACAAUGGGCAUUCUUAUGGCUCCUUAGUCUUCUCUCUCUCAAACAACCCUUUUUGUCUCUACAGAGACAUAAAUUAGUAUUCCAGUAGGAAAGAAAACUUUACUUCUUGCCAAGUUGGUUUUGGCUUGAAUGCCCUGCUGAGUGCAUGGGAUAUUAGGAAGAAUAAACUGUGCAUUCGAUGUUCA